AUGUCAGUCACCUGCAGACCACAAGUCAGGCACACGCCAGAGCAGAUAAGCAGUUUCUAAAAGUUAAACAACUUCACUGAAAUGAACAGUUUCCUUUCUGCAAGAAUUUCUAUCACCCUGACUCAACACAGAGCCUGAGUACAGACACACAAUGAGCUCCGAGCAUCAGGCGACUUAAUUGUCCCUUCAUCACAGUCAUAAUGAUGGGAGCAUCAUCUUGCAGGUGACAUCUCCCUACCAGCUUCUUUGUUACGUCUCCAUUUUUAUGCAAUCUUGCUGUUAGUUUUUGCUGCCUCUGUAUGGUAUCUCUUUUGUGUUCUGUUCAAAAAUACUUCCUUUUUAAAAGCAUGAUUUGUUCUAGUGCUUUGAUACCAUCUCAAGUAGAUACAGCUGGAGCCAAACCACUUCCUGACC
This 414-nucleotide long non-coding RNA is filed under the name Bos taurus (domestic cattle). Its description in RNAcentral is "long non-coding RNA NONBTAT027085". Lineage: Eukaryota; Metazoa; Chordata; Mammalia; Artiodactyla; Bovidae. The record is from RNAcentral.